ACCGCAUGCGUCCGCGACACCCUCCAUCAAGUUUAUCAGUGUUUGGUUUCGGUUUCGUCAUAGUUUUUAGUUUCGUUGGAGCCUGUACCUUCUAUUCAGUCAAGUCUGUUUCAGAGUCUAGGGGGUGGUGUUAACUUUGUUGCUGAUUGUGAGUGUGUUUUAGCAGCCACUUCGAACCGCCGACCUUCAACUAUGGAGGAAGUCUUACAACCACUGC
This 217-nucleotide long non-coding RNA is filed under the name Setaria viridis. RNAcentral's name for it is "long non-coding RNA (SVIR_LNC003941)". Lineage: Eukaryota; Viridiplantae; Streptophyta; Magnoliopsida; Poales; Poaceae. The record is from RNAcentral.